UGGUGGGUAGUUUGACUGGGGCGGUCUCCUCCUAAAGAGUAACGGAGGAGCACGAAGGUUGGCUAAUCCUGGUCGGACAUCAGGAGGUUAGUGCAAUGGCAUAAGCCAGCUUGACUGCGAGCGUGACGGCGCGAGCAGGUGCGAAAGCAGGUCAUAGUGAUCCGGUGGUUCUGAAUGGAAGGGCCAUCGCUCAACGGAUAAAAGGUACUCCGGGGAUAACAGGCUGAUACCGCCCAAGAGUUCAUAUCGACGGCGGUGUUUGGCACCUCGAUGUCGGCUCAUCACAUCCUGGGGCUGAAGUAGGUCCCAAGGGUAUGGCUGUUCGCCAUUUAAAGUGGUACGCGAGCUGGGUUUAGAACGUCGUGAGACAGUUCGGUCCCUAUCUGCCGUGGGCGCUGG
Molecule: ribosomal RNA, 399 nt
Filed under: Escherichia coli
Lineage: Bacteria; Pseudomonadati; Pseudomonadota; Gammaproteobacteria; Enterobacterales; Enterobacteriaceae
Also listed under: 3 other names
Description: partial 23S ribosomal RNA
Rfam family: Bacterial large subunit ribosomal RNA
Source: RNAcentral